Rattus norvegicus (Norway rat) is the source of this 46-nucleotide non-coding RNA. The record is from Rfam. NCBI's taxonomy places the organism in Eukaryota, Metazoa, Chordata, Mammalia, Rodentia, Muridae.
ACACAGGCUCUCCUCAGAGCCACAGCAGUUCAUAUGUGGUGUUCUU